This 187-nucleotide unclassified non-coding RNA is filed under the name soil metagenome. RNAcentral's name for it is "partial internal transcribed spacer 1". The record is from RNAcentral.
CAGAGUUGCAAAACUCCCACAAACCAUCGCGAAUCUUACCCGUACGGUUGCCUCGGCGCUGGCGGUCCGGAAGGCCCUCGGGCCCCCCGGAUCCUCGGGUCUCCCGCUCGCGGGAGGCUGCCUGCCGGAGUGCCGAAACCAAACUCUUGAUAUUUAUGUCUCUCUGAGUAAACUUUUAAAUAAGUCA